CGGGGAGGGCGCGGCGGCCAGCAUGGCGCGUCGCGGCGCGGGCCGCGCGGCUAGACGGGGCUCCUGAGGAACGGGCGGCGGCAGCCCCGGAGCCGACGAGGCGCGGGGCGGGCGGCGACCGGGCGGAGGGGCGCCGCCUUCCCUGACGCCGGGCACCUGGUCGCGGGCGCGCGGGCGACAUGCCCAACCCCAAAAACAGCAAAGGCGGCCGCAAAAACAAGCGCGCCAACAGCAGCGGAGACGAGCAGGAAAAUGGAGCCGGGGCCCUGGCGGCGGCGGGCGCGGCGGGCUCGGCGGCCGGCGGGGGGGCCCUGGCGGCGGCGGCCGGCGGUGGGGCGGCGGCACCGGGCGCUCCGGGCACCGGGGGUACGGCGGGCACCGGCGGAGCGGGGACGGGCGGCGCGAACGCCGGAGCCGCCGCGGGGGCUGCAGCCGCGGGAGACGCCAAGAACGAAGCCCCCUGUGCCACGCCUCUGAUCUGCAGCUUUGGGAGGCCGGUGGACCUGGAGAAGGACGACUAUCAGAAGGUGGUGUGCAACAAUGAGCACUGUCCUUGCAGCACCUGGAUGCACCUGCAGUGUUUCUAUGAGUGGGAGAGCAGCAUCUUGGCCCAGUUCAACUGCAUCGGCCGUGCCCGCAGCUGGAACGAGAAGCAGUGCCGCCAGAACAUGUGGACCAAGAAGGGCUACGACCUGGCUUUCCGCUUCUGCUCCUGCCGCUGUGGGCAAGGGCACUUAAAGAAAGACACAGACUGGUACCAGGUGAAGCGGAUGCAGGAUGAGAAAAAGAAGAAGUCUGGGUUGGAGAAGAACACGGGGAGGCCCCCGGGGGAGGCCGGAGAAGAGGCAAAAAAGUGCAGACCCCCAAACAAGCCCCAGAAAGGCCUAAACCACGACCUUCCCCGUCGGCAUUCUAUGGACCGGCAGAACUCCCAGGAGAAGGCAGUCAGUGCUGCAGCCUAUGGUGCCCGUUCCCCUUGUGGCUCCCCUGGCCAGUCACCCCCAACUGGCUACUCCAUCCUCUCUCCUGCCCACUUCAGUGGUCCUCGUUCCUCCAGAUACCUUGGAGAAUUCUUAAAAAAUGCCAUCCAUCUUGAGCCUCACAAAAGGGCUAUGGCUGGGGGCCAUGUGUUCAGAAAUGCCCACUUUGAUUACAGUCCAGCCGGGUUAUCUGUUCACAGGGGAGGACACUUUGACACUCCUGUGCAGUUUCUGCGGAGGCUGGACCUCUCUGAACUCCUCACCCAUAUCCCCAGGCAUAAGCUGAACACUUUCCAUGUUCGUAUGGAAGACGAUGCCCAAGUGGGUCAGGGAGAGGAUCUGCGGAAGUUCAUUCUCACGGCUCUCAGUGCCAGCCACAGAAACGUUGUAAACUGUGCUCUGUGCCACCGGACACUCCCAGUCUUUGAACAGUUCCCACUGGUGGAUGGAACUCUGUUCUUAAGCCCCUCGAGACACGAUGAGAUCGAAUAUGAUGUUCCUUGUCACCUUCAAGGGAGACUCAUGCAUCUGUACGCAGUGUGUGUGGACUGCCUGGAAGGGGUUCACAAGAUCAUCUGCAUCAAGUGUAAGUCUCGGUGGGAUGGCAGCUGGCACCAGCUGGGCACCAUGUAUACCUAUGACAUCCUGGCUGCCUCUCCCUGCUGUCAGGCCCGCCUGAACUGCAAGCACUGUGGCAAACCCGUGAUCGACGUGAGGAUCGGGAUGCAGUACUUCUCCGAGUACAGCAACGUCCAGCAGUGUCCACAUUGUGGGAACCUGGACUACCAUUUCGUGAAGCCAUUCUCGUCCUUCAAAGUUCUUGAAGCUUAUUGAUGAAAGCUUUGCUUUAGUAAUAGCUAUUUUAUUGAUAUUAUUACUUUGUUACAGAUCUUUUAUAGGGAAGCAUUCUGUGACAUUAAUUUCUUUUUCUAAGUUAAAGCAGAGUUUACUUUGUAUAUCUGUGCCACUAAAAUGGGGUUUGCCCCUUGCCUGUCUUGAUUCCCAAAUGUUAGUCUUUGGUCAGGAUUGGAACUAAGAAGGGUGGUAGGGGCAUUUGGGUAAGAGUUCACUCUCACUGAGAAUCUCUGUUGCAUCUUUAAGGUAGUCAGGAGGAUUGGACAAAUUUAAGAGAGGGAUUUUGUGGUUAUUAUGGAAAAGCAUGGUGGGAUUUGGGAGGGAGCUCUUACUAAAAUGUUAACUUCCUAAAGACCUACUUUUUAGAUAGUCUGUGAGCAUUGGGAAUAAUAUACGACAAGUGAAUGUAAGUCUGAGCCUUGAGAGCUAAUAGUGUGUUGGGCUAUCUUGGCUUAAUGAUCUGCAGUACAUGUUAACAUGCAGCUUGCUCUCACUGACAGAUGACUGCCUGCAAAGUGGACCUGAGUGCUGUUAUUUCACUGUUCUAUCAAUUCCAGUACUGAAAAAUAGAUCUAAAUUAUAAGACAUGAAAACUUUUGGGCUUGCAAAUGUUUUUAGAUAAGCUGACCUAUAAUGCAGAAUAUAUAAAAUGAGUCUGGAAAUGGUGCACGCUGAAUCUGAAGUUGGUCAGAGGAGCUGUUAAGGAGAAUCCAUACAUUCCCCUUAAAGUGAUUUGGGCAGUGACAAUUUUAUACGGAAACCACUGUUGAAGUACCAUUUGGUAUCAGAUCCUUUUCAUGGUACAUCUCACAGCCACAAAGCCUAACUGGUGAGCUUCAGAAACAGCCUGGCCACACAGACCUUCCCCAUGGUAACUUGUAGCCCCAUUUACCAUGUUUAACUCUUGAGUUUCCAGAAUUAAAAAAAAAAUUGGCCUGAAGAAGGAAAGGGAAAAAUUGUUUGAGAAAAGAGAAAAAAAAUUUAAGUAUGUUUCAUUUUGGAAAAUUACUGGUUGAAAUGCAAAACAUCUAUGUCAGUCUAAGGAUCCUCAUGAUAUCUUAACUGCUGAUGGAAAGGUGGUCACAUACAGAACUUGAUUAGUCAAAUUAUUAUUUCACAAUACAGCCUUCUGUUCAUUAGGGCUUGGUGACUUAAGUACACUGUUAUCCCACUCUCUUAUAGAAUUGGAACUGCAGUAUGAUUUCUCAUUAAUUUGAUAAUGACAUAUAUAUAUAUAUAUAUGUAUGCUAAAAGAAUCCUAAGAUAAUCUUUGAUAAAUAGGCAGAUUUGGGGUUUAUGUGAAUAUUUUAUAUUACUCAUUUUGCUUAUACCACUACCCCAUUAUUCCUCUCAAAACAAUUACUGCAAGUUAAUUUCAGUUAAUAGUGGAAGGAAAUGCUCACAAUGUCUGAGAAGCAGAAAAUCAUUAUUGGUCAGACAGCACUUGAUACAACUACAAGACACAGCCCUUGAACUGUAAUUGUGAUUGAAAGAAAAUAUAACAAGUGGACACUGUUAAAACCAGCUGAAGAAUAUAUGGCUGUCUGUAAAGAUUUGUCAAGAUGUCUUGGAUUGCACUUUUGUUGAGGGAUGACUGUAAAUAGUUGAAGAAUGUUGAUUAAAAAUCAAAGGAUUUGGUUAUGGAAUCCUGUGUGGUGUUAGAAGGUUUCUGUUUGUGAAAUGUAUGUAUUAAAAAUAAUAAAAAUUAAGAAAUCAAUAUUGUA
Molecule: RNA transcript, 3559 nt
Organism: Perognathus longimembris pacificus (Pacific pocket mouse)
Lineage: Eukaryota; Metazoa; Chordata; Mammalia; Rodentia; Heteromyidae
Gene: Heca
Gene name: hdc homolog, cell cycle regulator
Exons: 5
Source: RefSeq, a predicted model, not a curated record